AGGAUUCUAAUUCUAUUCUCCUAUAGAAUAGAAUUCUCCUGAUUCUUUCUAUUCUCCCUAUUUCUCCAUGUGCCACCAGUAUGAAUUUUGAUCACAUGAUGAUUUCAAGUUUGAUAACUCCUAAUAGUCAGUGACCACCUCCUGCACAGGGGCAGACAAGUGCUGAGCAUUCUGAUCUAGAGUGGUACAAAGCAGCAUGGAGAGCAUACACGUUCAGAAGCUCGUGGGGCUGCUCCUGCCCUCUGGCUGGGACCACUUCUCCUCACUCACCAUCCUGGGCGUCUGGGCUCUGGCCAUGCAGGGAGCAUCCCAAGUCCCGCCACGUCUGGAAAGGAAGGAUGGAGUCUCCUUUGUCCGCUUCUGCUCUUGGAGAGGGAAUCCCGACUGUCCUUCACGGACCAGAGAAUGUCAAGACUUGCCCAUCUCUCUCUCUGUUUGCUACCCCACGAUUGCAAGAUGACAGCAGCCACCAAAUCCCCCUGCUUCCUCAUCCACAUUGGACCAAGGCCUGAGAUUUGAGCAGAUGGAACACCGCUGGGCCAACCCCAGUGACCAGGAGAAUGGCCCGCUCCGAGGUCAUGAUUUACCUGACGUGCCCACUGUCCCAGGGGCUCUUGGAAUCCUGGAGCUGAGGGUGGAGUCCCUACCGCCCACACGGCU
This 660-nucleotide long non-coding RNA is filed under the name Vulpes vulpes (red fox). RNAcentral describes it as "lncRNA (ENSVVUG00000001805.1)". Lineage: Eukaryota; Metazoa; Chordata; Mammalia; Carnivora; Canidae. The record is from RNAcentral.